This is a long non-coding RNA of Astyanax mexicanus (Mexican tetra), 721 nucleotides long. RefSeq lists it as uncharacterized. NCBI's taxonomy places the organism in Eukaryota, Metazoa, Chordata, Actinopteri, Characiformes, Acestrorhamphidae. The transcript is spliced from 3 exons. The record is from RefSeq and is a predicted model, not a curated record.
ACUGCACACAGAGCAUUUCAGUAACGUUACCUCCGCUGUGUUCGGUAAUGUGAGAGUAACAUUAAAUUAAGAUGUGAACACGUGUUAAUAAUCCAAAAACUGCAGAGAGAACAGAACCAGUGCAGGCGCUGUCCCUGUUUCAGGCUUCACGCUCAGGUAAAUUAAGGUCACUGGUUUAUAUUAAUUACAUACAGCACACCUAAUCCAACUAAUCAACUAACAACUAACUUAUCAACUAACUCUCUGCCCUGGCUGAGGAGAGCUGUGUGUUACUCCAAAACCGCAGAGCUAACCCAGCUAACUGAAGAACUGUCUCUCAGCUCCAUGUUCCUCUACCACCAUCAUCUCUGUGAGUAUCUGUGUGAUUCUGCUGCUGAUUGGAGGAUUAACUCUGAUCUUCUACAAGCUGAGAUGCUGCAGGACUGGAGACUCCGCCCACAUCAGCCAAACAUCUGGAACUAAUGAUACAAAUGAUGGUGAUUAUGAAAAUGAUCCACGUAGAACACAGAAGAACAUCAAUAUGAGCCCAGUCUACCAGAACAAGGGCCCCAACACCAACCAACCAGAUUCAGUCUACCAGACCCUAAACCCCAACACCAACCAAUUAGAUUCCGUCUACCAGACCCUAAACCCCAACAGCAUCCAAUCAGAUUCAGACUACCAGACCCUAAACCCCAACACCAUCCAAACAGAUUCAGUCUACCAGACCCUGAACCCCAAC